RNAcentral lists this ribosomal RNA (483 nucleotides) under uncultured bacterium. Its description in RNAcentral is "partial 16S ribosomal RNA". It matches the Rfam family "Bacterial small subunit ribosomal RNA", at positions 28 to 523 of the family's 1533-position model. The record is from RNAcentral.
GACGAACGCUGGCGGCGUGCUUAACACAUGCAAGUCGAACGAUGAAGCUGGAGCUUGCUCCAGUGGGUUAGUGGCGAACGGGUGAGUAACACGUGAGCAAUCUGCCCUUGACUCUGGGAUAACUGCGGGAAACUGUAGCUAAUACCGGAUACGACACCUUGGGGCAUCCCGGGGUGUGGAAAGAAUUUCGGUCAAGGAUGAGCUCGCGGCCUAUCAGCUUGUUGGUGAGGUAAAGGCUCACCAAGGCGACGACGGGUAGCCGGCCUGAGAGGGUAACCGGCCACACUGGAACUGAGACACGGUCCAGACUCCUACGGGAGGCAGCAGUGGGGAAUAUUGCACAAUGGGCGAAAGCCUGAUGCAGCAACGCCGCGUGAGGGAUGACGGCCUUCGGGUUGUAAACCUCUUUUAGCAGGGAAGAAGCGAAAGUGACGGUACCUGCAGAAAAAGCACCGGCUAACUACGUGCCAGCCGCCGCCGUAA